Molecule: ribosomal RNA, 440 nt
Filed under: uncultured bacterium
Lineage: Bacteria
Description: partial 16S ribosomal RNA
Rfam family: Bacterial small subunit ribosomal RNA
Source: RNAcentral
CCUACGGGAGGCAGCAGUGGGGAAUAUUGCACAAUGGGGGAAACCCUGAUGCAGCGACGCCGCGUGAGUGAAGAAGUAUUUCGGUAUGUAAAGCUCUGUCAGCAGGGAAGAAAAUGACGGUACCUGACCAAGAAGCCCCGGCUAACUACGUGCCAGCAGCCGCGGUACUACGUAGGGGGCAAGCGUUGUCCGGUUUUACUGGGUGAAAAGGGAGCGUAGACGGUAGGGCAAGUCUGGAGUGAAAGGCGGGGGCUCAACCCCCGGACUGCUCUAGAAACUGCCAGGCUGGAGUGCAGGAGAGGUAAGUGGAAUUCCUAGUGUAGCGGUGGAAUGCGUAGAUAUUAGGAGGAACACCAGUGGCGAAGGCGGCUUACUGGACUGUAACUGACGUUGAGGCUCGAAAGCGUGGGGAGCAAACAGGAUUAGAUACCCGUGUAGUC